GUAAAUCAGCGUCUUUUCCGUAGUGUCUACUGUAGGAUGGAUAUAAAAGUAUAAAACACGUUUUGGUUUGACAACAUCGUUCAUAUGUGAACUAUCACAAUUAAAGCACAAAGACAUAACAACAUUACACCCCGAGACCUUUCACAAGUGCUACAAAAGAGAAGAAACGCUUUCCGGAAAAGUUCAUCAGGCGAGUUGGAGACUAGUCAACUCAUCCAGUUUAGCGGAGAGCAUCAACCCCUAACUGACAUGAAGAAAAAAUCAUUGAAAAGUGUUCAGCGUACAGUGUAUCCCUCUUUGCAACAGAGGAAGCAUUAGGAAAGAGGAGAAGAGAGAAAGUGAAAACAGAUGUUGGAAAAUGCACUGGUAACAACAAAAAAAAGACGACCAAAAAUAUAAUUCAACAGAGGAUGAUGGCUGUGGUGAAACAAGCACUCAAAUAAUGAAACUAAGACCAGUGGGAGUGCUGGAGAAAUCAAGUGUAUAAGUCCUCUGUCGUCUCAGCCAUGGAAGAGAUCUUCAGACAUGAAGAGAUUGAGGAGUUAAAUGAAAUCAAAGAGCUAAAAGAAGAUUUACAAUACUAGUGCCAUUUCAGUAUGAAAACAGAGAGAGAGCUGAGGGAGUGGAAAGAAAUGCAUGUUAUUGUUCAAGGGGUAGUUGCAUGGACUAUCAGUGUAGGAACAGAAAGCUCUGAGAUUUCAUUAUAAAGAUCUUCAUUUGUGUUCUGAAGAUGAACAAAAGACUUGCGGGUUUGGAACGAUAUGAGGGUGAGUUAUUGAUGACAGAAUUUUCAUUUUUGGGUGAACCAACCUUUUAACUUCUGUUACCUGGAGUGUUCAAAGACAUUGUUAAUGCAGACCAAUAUGUCAUCAGAAAUUAAUUGGGAGUAGAAUGAAUACUUUACACAAACACUUGGUGACAUCACAAUUCAAGAUUUAUUUUAAGCAUACUAAAUAUCCCUGUAGUGUAAAGUGUAACUGAAACUUGAGAAUUUCUGAUAGUUUUUGUUUGUUUGUUUUUCCAGACUACAUCCAAAAUAGUGUUUCCACAUCUGAGAUGAAGGCAGUCAUAAGAACUAAGCGGAACGAUGAGGAUAAGCUCUUCAAAAAAUGAAACCUGUCUGAAUAAUGAGGGAAGAAAUGUGCAUGAUUGCGUGAUUUGUAAAUAAACACUAAAUACAUUUAGUGUAACUCUCAGCCUGUUAUUUUAAGUUUAAAGAAAAGUAAAAUAAUUUAUUGUUGCAUUGCUUUUUUAGACAUUCACUGUUGUUUUGUACCUUAAUUUAUUAUAUUGCAGUUGUGUAAAAUAAAACUUGUUAUUCUGAAUAUUCUGGUUGCAUUUCAG
Molecule: long non-coding RNA, 1344 nt
Organism: Onychostoma macrolepis
Lineage: Eukaryota; Metazoa; Chordata; Actinopteri; Cypriniformes; Cyprinidae
Exons: 5
Source: RefSeq, a predicted model, not a curated record